UUUGACAGGCAGAGUGGACAGUGAGAGAGAGACAGAGAGAAAGGUCUUCCUUUGGCCGCUGGUUCACCCUCCAAUGGCCGCCGCGGCCGGCGCACCGCACUGAUCCGAUGGCAGGAGCCAGGAGCUUCUCCUGGUCUCCCAUGGGGUGCAGGGCCCAAGUACUUGGGCCAUCCUCCACUGCACUCCCUGGCCACAGCAGAGAGCUGGCCUGGAAGAGGGGCAACCGGGACAGAAUCCGGCACCCCGACCGGGACUAGAACCCGGUGUGCCGGCGCCACUAGGUGGAGGAUUAGCCUAUUGAGCCACAGCGCCGGCCACUGUUGAUAAAUUCUUUGAACUUUAGUAUUACUUUUGUAAAUCUAUUUUUGUUGUAUCAUUGUAUCUUUUUGUUAAAUUGACCUCUUUUACUUUCUGUAUUUUAAAAUGUUGCUCCACCGUCGUCUUGUUUACUUCCAGUGAGAAAUAUGAUGUCAUCCUUAUCUUUAUUCCUAUUUAGUUUCUAAGCCUCUUUUUGUCUGGCUUCUUUUAGGAUUUUCUCUUCAUCCCUAGGUUUGAGUUACUUGAUGACAACACAGUUUAAUGAAUUUUUUUUUCAUGUUUCUUGCACUUGGGGUUAGUUGAGCUUUUUUUUUUUUUUUUUCAAUGAUUUAUUUACUUAUUUAUUUGAAAGAGUUAAAGGAAGAGACAGAGAUUUCCAUCCACUGGUUGACUCCCCAAAUGGCCGCAACAGCCAGGGUUAGGUCUUGUAAAAGCCAGGAGUUGGGGGCUUCUUCUGGGUCUCCUACAUGGGUGCAGGGGCCCAAGCUCUUGGGCCAUCCUCUGCUGCUUUCCCAGGCACCUCAGCAGGAAGCUGUAUGGGAAACAGAGUAGCUGAGACUCCACAUAGAAUGCAUGUGUCCUAAGCAGUGGGGUAAUCCGUAGCACACAAUGCCUGCCGCAGGUUUUUUGUUGUUAAGUAAUGUGGUGGCAGGGACUCAAGUAUUUGAGCUAUCACCUGCUGCCUUCCCGGGUAUGAAUCAGCAAUAAGCUGGGUGGGAAGAUGACCUGGUACUCAAACCCAGGGUCACCCAUAUGGGAUACAGGCAUCCCAAGUGACCACUUAACCACUGCACCAAAAGCCUGCCCCUGGAUCUUUUUAAAUAGUUGACCUAUCUCUAAGCGCAGCUGGCAAAGCACACUGUGCUGGACCCCAGAGGCUGACACAGUGUUCAUUGAAUUAAAGACAACAACCAACUAGGUUAAAAAAAAACAACCAAUGCCGGCGCCGCAGCUCACUAGGCUAAUCCUCCGCCUGUGGCGCCAGCACACCAAGUUCUAGUCCCGGUCGGGGCGCUGGAUUCUGUCCCGGUUGCCCCUCUUCCAGGCCAGCUCUCUGCUGUGGCCCGGGAAGGCAGUGGAGGAUGGCCCAAGUCCUUGGGCUCUGCACCCCAUGGGAGACCAGGAGAAGUACCUGACUCCUGCCUUCGGAUCAGCGCAGUGUGCCGGCCGCAGCGCACCAGCCGCAGCGGCCAUUGGAGGGUGAACCAACGGCAAAAGGAAGACCUUUCCAGCUUGUGAUCUUUCACAGACUGUGGACCAAGUCCAAGAUGAAGUCAGUGACCUCCUUAUCAGUUCUGGAAGAUGUUGUAGUCUCGAGCACUGUGAAUCCAAAUGCAAAGAAGUUUGUCCCUGGGGCGAAGUACCACGACAUUUGAGUAGACCGGGGCUCUCCUUUGUGAAUGUAGCAGUUUCCACAUGGAAGCAGUAUCACAGAAGACUUCAUUGUAAAAGCGUGUUCUUCGAUUGUGUUUGCAGCCGCACCGCACCGCCUUCACUCUCUAACGCCAGUUCCACCUCUCACUCGCCGAGCUCCAGCUCCAAAGGACGAGGGAUCCGGCUUUCUGCUAUGGCCUGGGAAAGUAGUAGAAGAUGGCUCAAGGUCUUGGGCCCCUGCACCCACAUGGGAGACCCUGAGGAAGCUCCUGGCUCCUGACUUCGGAUCUGCGCAGCUCCAGCUGUUUUGGCCAAUUGGCAAGUGAACCUCUGGAUGGAAGACCUCUCUCUCUCUCUCUCUCUCUCUCUCUCUGCCUCUCCUUCUCUCUGUGUAACUCUGACUUUCAAAUAAAAUAAAAUCUUUUGCCGGCGCCGCAGCUCACUAGGCUAAUCCUCCACCUUGCGGUGCCGGCACACCGGGUUCUAGUCCCGGUCGGGGUGCCGGAUUCUGUCCCGGUUGCCCCUCUUCCAGGCCAGCUCUCUGCUGUGGCCAGGGAGUGCAGUGGAGGAUCGCCCAAGUGCUUGGGCCCUGCACCCCAUGGGAGACCAGGAGAAGCACCUGGCUCCUGCCAUCGGAUCAGCGCGGUGCGCCGUCCACAGCGCGUCGGCCGCGGCGGCCAUUGGAGGGUGAACCAACGGCAAAAGGAAGACCUUUCUCUCUCUCUCACUAUCCACUCUGCCUGUCAAAAAUAAAUAAAUAAAUAAAUAAAUAAAUAAAUAAAUCAAAUCUUUUAUAAAAAAAAGAAAAACAGAGGACAGAAAUCAGGUAUUGGCAGUUUUUCCAUUUUCAUUUGUGUGUGAAUUUUUUAAUUUAAAAUUAAUAUUUAAUAGUCUACUAAAUUUAUAUUAAUUAUUAAUAUUAAAAUAAAUUUAUAUUAAAUUUAAUAUUAAUGGAACAUAAAGCAUUAGUGCAAGUCAAAAUGUUUCAAUGAACAAGUUUCAGCAGUUCAACUUUAUAAUAAUUAUAAAUAAACCUGUCAAAUUUUUCUGAGAAUUUUUUCUGAAUUUUUGUAAAACAAAUAAAUUUCUUACCGGUGGCAGAAAAAAAAAAGGUUGCUCUUGCCAGUGCUGCACACUUACUUAUUGCCAAAGAUUUUGUUAAUCUUGUAUGCUUCAAAAAGUUCUGAGACUAUUAUUAAGUAGACACUUCUUUAACAUUUCCUGAAAGUAGGAUCAGCCUCAUGGCUUGAGGUGAAGACAGUGAGGAAAGAAGCACCAGUUAACUUGUGACAAAGCACCAAAUUAAAUGGCUUCUAAAUUUUUGCCAACAUUGUGACACAACAGGUGAAGCUGCCAUCUGCAGUGCUGGCAUCACUUAUGGGUGCCAUUUUGAGUCCCGGCAGCUCCACUUCUGAUCCAGUUCCCUGCUAAUGGCGUGGAAAAGCAGCAAAGGAUGGCCCAAGAACUUGGGCCCCUACUACCCACGUGGGAGACCCUGAUGAAGCGCCUGGCUCCUGGCUUUGGCCUGGCCCUGCACUGGCUGUUGCAGCCAUCCGGGGAGUGAACCAGUGGAUAGAAGACCUCCCUCUCUCUCUUUCUCUGGCUCUCCAUCUCUCCCUCUAAUUCUGAAGUUCAGUAUUAAUAAACGAGUUUUUAAAAAAUAAAAUAACUUCUGAAUCUUA
Oryctolagus cuniculus (rabbit) is the source of this 3374-nucleotide non-coding RNA. The record is from RefSeq and is a predicted model, not a curated record. Lineage: Eukaryota; Metazoa; Chordata; Mammalia; Lagomorpha; Leporidae.